AUGUCAACAUCAUUUUUGCAGUACAGCGAGGCCUCCUUUUUGAAGUCAAAGGUACCGCGGCUGGCCUCGCUGUACUGCAAAAAUGAUGUUGACAUUCUCACCCAGGGCAGUCUUAAAUUUAGAGAUCAGUUCCUAGGUGAGACGGGGGUAGACCCUUUUGGUUCUAUCGCCAUAGCCGGAGCCUGUAUGAAGGUGUUUCGCACCAAUUAUCUGACUCCUAACACUCUGGCUAUCCCCUGCCCGCACAACUAUUUGAAUCAGAGCAAAAGAUUCUCUAGCGCAUCGGUUCAAUGGUUAGAAUGGUUGAUGCACAAAGAAAAAAUCUUUAUACAGCAUGCUCUAAACAUGGGUGAAAAACAGAUUGGUGCAUUUUUCGUAGACGGAUAUGCUGAGAUUGACGGUGUAAAACAUGUCUGGGAAUUUCAUGGAUGUUUUUACCACGGCUGUCCCAGUUGCUUUGAUCCCACAGUACAGUGCGAUAUGAGAGGCGUCACCUUUGGUGAACUGCACUACAAAAGUGAGAAGAGGGUGAGUGAGCUACAGACCACACAUGGGGUUCGUGUUGUAGUCAUGAGAGAACACACGUGGAACCAGAUGAAAACAACAUGCACGGAGGUUAAAGAAUUUCUCCGUUGCUUUAACGCUCCUGAGCCUCUCAACCCCCGAAAAGCACUUUUCGGAGGUAGAACGAGCGCUUUAAAACUGCGACACACGGCAGCGCCCGAUGAAACCAUCCACUAUGUUGAUGUCACCUCACUGUACCCGUUUGUCAACAGUACUUGCUCUUACCCCUUUGGUCACCCCGUGAUCAUCUACAAAGAUUUCGAGGACCCACGCAGCUACUACGGCUUCAUCAGAGCCACUGUGUAUCCUCCUCGAGGUCUUUUAUUCCCCGUGUUACCGCACAAAAGUGAGGGAGGUAAAUUACUCUUUACACUGUGUCGCACCUGUGCCGAAACUAACAAUGAGGGUGGCCCCUGCGAACACGACGAUGAGGGCAGAGCUCUGACGGGGGUCUGGGUCACCGUUGAAUUCAUCAAAGCUCUGGAUGUGGGGUACAGGGUGGGUAAAAUUACAGAAGUCUGGCACUUUGACAAGAGCAGCGACACUGUGUUUACCGACUACAUACACACCUUUUUGAAAGGAAAGCAGGAAGCCUCGGGUUACCCCGCUGAGGCGACGGACCGAGAGAGCAGGGAAAAAUACAUCAGGGACUAUCAGGAGCAUCAGGGCAUUCUUUUAGAUGCUGGCAAAAUCGAGACCAAUCCUGUGAAAAGACAGGUUGCUAAAUUGUGUCUCAACAGUUUGUGGGGAAAGUUUGCACAGAGAGAUAAUUUGUUUAAAACCACCAUUGUCUCAGAUCCUAAAGAAUUCUUUAGUUACAUGUUUUCAGGUAAAUACAAAGUCGAAUACUUUUCCGUUCUCCACAGCAACAGAGCUCUCAUCAGGUGGAAAUACACCGACAGGUACGUUCAACCCCCAGGUAAACAGAGUAAUGUUUUUAUUGCAGCAUUCACCACAGCACACGCACGACUGAAGCUGUACAGUUAUCUGGAAAAACUACAAGACAGAGUGUUUUACAUCGACACAGAUAGUUUAAUCUAUCUGGUCAAAGAGGGUGAGAAACCUCUAGAGCUGGGUAACUAUUUAGGUGACCUGACGGAUGAACUGGAUGGUGACAGCAUUCAAGAGUUUGCAGCGGCGGGUCCCAAGAGUUACGCGUACCAAACACGAAAUAAAAAGAAAGUCGUCAUGCGUGUGAAAGGUAUCACUCAGACCCGGGAAUUUUGUGAGCGUGUGAGCUUUGACAGUGUCAGAGAGCUGGUGGAGGGUUACCUGAGUAAUAAACAAGAGGGAAACACGAUCGAGAUCCGUCAACACAGCAUCAGACGUGAUAAAAAGGGUUUCGCAUUGAGAAAUGUGUCAUUUGAUAAAAAAUUUAGGGUGGUGUAUGACAAAAGACGACUCUUUGCUGACGGAACAACUCUGCCUUUCGGGUAUUAGAAAUGCAGGAAAUUGAAUUUGAUCCUAGGUUUAUCUUUCCUUUUUCUUGUUUAAUCGCGGGUCCGAGCGGGUGUGGAAAGACCUAUUUUGUAAAAAAUGUAUUGGAAAACUGUGACCGUGUAAUAAAUGUUGUACCUGACAAUAUCGUGUGGAUUUAUACCUCUUUUCAACCUAUGUACGCUGAACUGCAAAAGAUGAUUAAAAACAUUAAAUUUGUCAAAGGUCUGCCUGAUUCUUUUGAAGAUGAAACACUGUUUCCUCCUGAUCAAAAGCAUUUGAUUAUUUUGGACGAUGUUAUUUUUCAAGCCUCUGACCAUCCUGAAGUGGUAAAGAUUUUUACACAGUAUCGCCACCACAGAAACAUGAGUGUUAUGAUGUUGACUCAAAACGUGUUUCACCAGGGUAAACACAGUCGCACCAUCAGUUUGAACAGCAAUUAUUUGGUCAUGUUUAAAAACCCACGGGAUAAACUACAAAUGAAUAUAUUGGCUCAUCAGAUUUUUCCAUCACAAAAGACAUUUUUCUUGGAGAGUUUUGAAGACGCCACAAAAGACCCUCACGGGUAUUUAAUAGUGGAUCUCACCCCCGUCUGCCCAGAUCCGUACAGACUGAGAACGGGUGUACUUCCUCACCAGCAAGCGGCCGUUUACAUCCCCAGAGCGUCGACGUAGAUCAUCAUGUCAGCGCGUAUAAAAAGAAACGCACCCCUGCUGAAGGCCCUGUACCGUGCCACACCCAAGAAACGUAGAGACAUUCUUAUUCACAGCUCCCCGGAUUUUAUCCAGACACUGUGUGAGAUUUCUUUAAAUCUUCUAAAAGGAAACGUCCCCCUGACUCCUUCUCAAUUUAAAAAACUGAAGAGACAGAAAAAAAUUAUCAAACUGUUGGCUGAUAAAAGAACCAGUUUAAAGAGGAAGCAACAGGUUCUAAAGAAGCAGACGGGCGGAUUUCUUUUACCUCUCCUCUCAGCGGUGGUACCUUUGAUCGGGAACCUCGUCGGAGGAUUGAUACGAAAAUGACUUUGAAAAAGGCCCAAAAAAUGUUUCUCGUCACCCCUCAUCAACUCAACCGCCUGACGCGGCCCUCCCAGUCCAUCAGAGAUGUCGCGGAGGACGAUUUGGAUGCUAGGAUGAGAGCCAUCUUAAACGAGCAGGGGCUGAGCUCUCAUGAAAAAAUUAAAAAAUAUAACGCGUUACUGCAAAGAUAUCUGACCUUUGUGAAGCAGGAUCAGACAGAGAAUCUGACAGAGAAUCUGACAAAGACGGAGGCAGAGGCAGAUUCUGGGACGGACGUACGGACGUCCGAUAGCAUCAUCGACGACGUGUUGCAGAGCCUCCCACCGCGAGAU
This 3352-nucleotide long non-coding RNA is filed under the name Takifugu rubripes (torafugu). RNAcentral's name for it is "lncRNA (ENSTRUG00000030739.1)". The record is from RNAcentral. Lineage: Eukaryota; Metazoa; Chordata; Actinopteri; Tetraodontiformes; Tetraodontidae.